This 420-nucleotide ribosomal RNA is filed under the name uncultured eukaryote. RNAcentral describes it as "bacterial SSU rRNA". It matches the Rfam family "Eukaryotic small subunit ribosomal RNA", at positions 592 to 1018 of the family's 1831-position model. The record is from RNAcentral.
CAAUAGCGUAUAUUUAUGUUGUUGCAGUUGAAAAGCUCGUAGUUGGAUUUGAGAUUUAGAGAUAUGGUCUCAUCUUCGGAUGUUGUACUGUACCUUUUUAUCUUUUACAUGAGAAGGCAUUCUGUUCUUUAUUGGAUGGUUUGUUGACUCAUGUCUUUUACUUUGAAAAAUUAGAGUGUUCAAAGCAGGCUUAUGCCUUGAAUACAUUAGCAUGGAAUAAUAAGAUAGGACUUUUGUCUAUUUUGUUGGUUUUUAUGGACUGAAGUAAUGAUUAAUAGGGGCAGUUGGGGACAUUAAUAUUUAAUUGUCAGAGGUGAAAUUCUUGGAUUUAUUAAAGAUUAACUACUGCGAAAGCAUUUGUCAAGGAUGUUUUCAUUAAUCAAGAACGAAAGUUGGGGAUCGAAGAUGAUUAGAUACCAU